GAAUGCUGACAUAAGUAACGAUAAAGCGGGUGAAAAGCCCGCUCGCCGGAAGACCAAGGGUUCCUGUCCAACGUUAAUCGGGGCAGGGUGAGUCGACCCCUAAGGCGAGGCCGAAAGGCGUAGUCGAUGGGAAACAGGUUAAUAUUCCUGUACUUGGUGUUACUGCGAAGGGGGGACGGAGAAGGCUAUGUUGGCCGGGCGACGGUUGUCCCGGUUUAAGCGUGUAGGCUGGUUUUCCAGGCAAAUCCGGAAAAUCAAGGCUGAGGCGUGAUGACGAGGCACUACGGUGCUGAAGCAACAAAUGCCCUGCUUCCAGGAAAAGCCUCUAAGCAUCAGGUAACAUCAAAUCGUACCCCAAACCGACACAGGUGGUCAGGUAGAGAAUACCAAGGCGCUUGAGAGAACUCGGGUGAAGGAACUAGGCAAAAUGGUGCCGUAACUUCGGGAGAAGGCACGCUGAUAUGUAGGUGAAGUCCCUCGCGGAUGGAGCUGAAAUCAGUCGAAGAUACCAGCUGGCUGCAACUGUUUAUUAAAAACACAGCACUGUGCAAACACGAAAGUGGACGUAUACGGUGUGACGCCUGCCCGGUGCCGGA
This 596-nucleotide ribosomal RNA is filed under the name Escherichia coli. Its description in RNAcentral is "partial 23S ribosomal RNA". It matches the Rfam family "Bacterial large subunit ribosomal RNA", at positions 1292 to 1873 of the family's 2925-position model. The record is from RNAcentral. Lineage: Bacteria; Pseudomonadati; Pseudomonadota; Gammaproteobacteria; Enterobacterales; Enterobacteriaceae.